RNAcentral lists this ribosomal RNA (492 nucleotides) under uncultured bacterium. RNAcentral describes it as "partial 16S ribosomal RNA". It matches the Rfam family "Bacterial small subunit ribosomal RNA", at positions 29 to 507 of the family's 1533-position model. The record is from RNAcentral.
AGUGAACGCUGGCGGUAGGCCUAACACAUGCAAGUCGAACGGCAGCACAGUAAGAGCUUGCUCUUACGGGUGGCGAGUGGCGGACGGGUGAGGAAUACAUCGGAAUCUACUUUUUCGUGGGGGAUAACGUAGGGAAACUUACGCUAAUACCGCAUACGACCUACGGGUGAAAGCAGGGGAGCUUCGGACCUUGCGCGAUUGAAUGAGCCGAUGUCGGAUUAGCUAGUUGGCGGGGUAAAGGCCCACCAAGGCGACGAUCCGUAGCGGGUCUGAGAGGAUGAUCCGCCACACUGGAACUGAGACACGGUCCAGACUCCUACGGGAGGCAGCAGUGGGGAAUAUUGGACAAUGGGCGCAAGCCUGAUCCAGCCAUACCGCGUGGGUGAAGAAGGCCUUCGGGUUGUAAAGCCCUUUUGUUGGGAAAGAAAAGCAGCAGGUUAAUACCCCGCUGUUCUGACGGUACCCAAAGAAUAAGCACCGGCUAACUUCGUG